Amphiprion ocellaris (clown anemonefish) is the source of this 1893-nucleotide long non-coding RNA. RefSeq lists it as uncharacterized. Lineage: Eukaryota; Metazoa; Chordata; Actinopteri; Pomacentridae. The record is from RefSeq and is a predicted model, not a curated record. The transcript is spliced from 2 exons.
UUUAUUAAAUGUUGCUAUGAAGGUAUCGCUGUUUUUCUUUGUGAAUGCAAUGUGCUCCAACUGAAACUUGAAUUAGAACUUAGAAGUAAAUCCUUCCAUCUGAAAGGAUUUAGUUGCAUUAAUAACCUCAUAACAUUCUAAUUUUUAUUCAGUCUUGGCUGGAAAUAGAAUCUCUGUAUUGAUUCAGGUAAAAACUGAACUUCACAGCAUGUUGGAGCAAAACAACCAGAUGAAAACUGUGAUGGUGUUGGAUUGUCAGACCGUAAUGUUGCAGCUCAAAGCAGCUUUUCUAUCUCAGUUCAUUCUGACAUUCAGCUAUGAAUCAACACAGCAGAUGGUGAUCCAUGCUGUGGAAGUCUCACAUCUCCUGAUUUAAUGGAGCUGCUUUGCACUUUUUACACUGUUUAUUCACCAACACUUUAUUUAAUAAAAGUCUCAUCUAGUUUUUAUGAGGAAUGUGAUGUUUUAAUUUCUCUGUGAAUAACUGCAGUCUAAUGGAACAGCUGGAGUUGUAACAUCUGUCCUGAUAUUGAUCAUGAAGUAUUGAUCAGAAUACUUAUGGUCAGCAGUCAUCCCUGAAGUUUUACAUUAAAACCUUUACUUGUGUUGUGAACUUUGAUAAGAAGCAGAAACGUUAGCGUUGCCAUGGAUACAUGAGUGUUAAAUUCUGUCCAUGUUUCCAUUUUGGGAAAUGCAGUCCAGUUCCAGAAUGUGGAGGAAUUUAGUCUCACAAUCACAGACAAAUAUUAUCUGAAAGUGGGGUUAUUGUUGUUUAUCAGCACAAUACAAAAAGAUUAAUGUUAGAAAUAUUCCAGUUAAGACUCUAGAAUAUCAUGAUUUAUGUAAAUUUACCUCAAUAAUAUGAAUGUUCAGGUUAAGAUUGUGCAGUGAUAUUUAUUAUGCAAGUUUAGCUGAUUAAAGUUUAUGACUCUGCACUAAAAUAUUAUUUAAAUUGACAUCAUUAUUAUAAUAUUUAGGGUCAGACCCUACAGUAUUGAGAUUAAGAAAUCAAAUAUUCUAUAAAAUGUAAAUACACUGAACUCAUUUGGAUAUAUUUAAGUGAGACUCUACAAUAUUAUUUGACACAAAUCUAUCUAAAUCAAAAUUUUAAUAAUUUUCACGCCAAACAUUUACUGGACUGAUUUAAAUAUUAAAAUCACUCCUUUCUAAUCCUCUGCUGUACGUUCAAACUUGAGGCCUUAAAUGGAAACACACAAGUAUUUUAUUGAAGGAACUUCUGCAGAGUCCUGGUUCCAGAACAUGAUGAUAGAAUUAUAGACAAACUUUAACAAAAGCUGCCUGAGAGUUUGCAGGUUUUUAUGUUGGAUUUCUUCAGUAAUUUAAUGAGCGUUAUCAGCAAUAAUCAAGUGUUCAUUUGAUGAACUUCAUUUCCUAAAACAUCCAGAAUUGGAGCUCAUAUCUUUGGCAGCUGUAAAGUUUCUGCUCCUUCAAAGAUCACAACACAAUGAAUGAAUUCCUAAAACACUCUCAAUGCUGGAGAGUGUUUGUGAUGCUGAAGCAGUGAUCAGUUUUUCUGUUUCUUCUCUGGAGAUGCACAAUGAGGGACGUCUGCAGAGACUGAGAAAGAGUCUCACCACAUCCUGACAUGAGGAAAAAGACUUUAUUGAAGACUACAAUGAGAAAAACUAUCAGACAGCAGACGGCUGCAUUCAAGUCUGUAGCUGCUGAAUUCAUGGAUGAAUCAUCUGGCACUAGAGAAGAAGACCAUCAAACAUCCACGUCAGCUGAUGGAGGUCCAAGAGUCUCACCGAACAACCAACCUACAGAGUGAAGACCUCAAAUCUGAUUGGACGGCCUCCUAUUCAGCCACAUGUGUGAACAAAUGCCUCUAAGCUGAUUUGUUUUCUAAAAUAAAUCUAGUUUGAGUCCUAA